Long non-coding RNA from Mauremys reevesii (Reeves's turtle), 407 nucleotides. RefSeq lists it as uncharacterized. Lineage: Eukaryota; Metazoa; Chordata; Testudines; Geoemydidae. The record is from RefSeq and is a predicted model, not a curated record. The transcript is spliced from 4 exons.
AACUAUUUAUGUUUUUUAUGGUGAUUACAGGUGCUAAAGAUUAUAACCAGUAGCAGCCCAAUAAUUGAGAUAGAAAGGCCCAGAGUGGGUUUUAUGUUUUGUAGGGUUUGUUUUAAUGAUAGUCAGGCCAACCCUAGGACAGCUCAAGAAUCAACACAGAGGAGGGACAAGGAUCCAUAACAGUUGUUUGCACUGAAUCAGGGCCUUCCAUGCUGGCACUCGCUUCCCCAUUGGUUCAACGGAACCUGAAUUUGUUGACCUUCAGAGUCCGUUAUAAGGACGGGUCUCUGCCUGAGAUGAAGUUGAUGGAGGAUUUCUAAGGAGCCGUCUUCCAGAAAAUUUUCGAUACUAAAGGACUGGCAACAGCGUGAUUAUUGGGAUGCGUUUGAGUCCCUGCUGGGUAGAGG